CCUACGGGGGGCAGCAGUGAGGAAUAUUGGUCAAUGGACGCAAGUCUGAACCAGCCAUGCCGCGUGCAGGAAGACGGCUCUAUGAGUUGUAAACUGCUUUUGUACGAGGGUAAACGCAGAUACGCGUAUCUGUCUGAAAGUAGCGUACGAAUAAGGAUCGGCUAACUCCGUGCCAGCAGCCGCGGUAAUACGGAGGAUGCGAGCGUUAUCCGGAUUUAUUGGGUUUAAAGGGUGCGUAGGCGGACUGUUACGUCAGCGGUAAAAGCCCGGGGCUCAACCCCGGCGAGCCGUUGAAACUGGCUGGCUUGAGAGGGCGAGAGGUAGGCGGAAUGCGCAGUGUAGCGGUGAAAUGCUUAGAGAUUGCGCAGAACUCCGAUUGCGAAGGCAGCAUACCGGAGGUGAUCUGACGCUGCGGCACGAAAGCGUGGGUAUCGAACAGGAUUAGAUACCCGGGUAGUC
This 459-nucleotide ribosomal RNA is filed under the name uncultured bacterium. RNAcentral describes it as "partial 16S ribosomal RNA". It matches the Rfam family "Bacterial small subunit ribosomal RNA", at positions 338 to 795 of the family's 1533-position model. The record is from RNAcentral.